Molecule: long non-coding RNA, 409 nt
Organism: Grammomys surdaster
Lineage: Eukaryota; Metazoa; Chordata; Mammalia; Rodentia; Muridae
Exons: 2
Source: RefSeq, a predicted model, not a curated record
CUUUCUGUUUCCUAUUGGUCAUUAUGAAAACAAAUCAAUGACUGAAAAGUGAAGCAGAAAGAGCCCUGGGAAGAGAGCCCUGGGGAAAAAGAAAACGAAAGUCCUCAAGGUUACCGCCCAGGGUGAAGUCUGCAGACGUCCAGACAAGGGCGUACACCAGGGGCGUGUGGGAAGCCACACAGUCUAAGGAUGAAGUCAUCCCCCAGGAGAGGAAUUUUGAGCCUGGCCCUGGUGUUAUCUGGCCCUGCCUGGACCUUCAGCCUUAGUUCCUCCCAGCUCCACCCCCUGCCUCAUACCACACACUGGCAGGCUCCUGGUCUGCAGAUGAGGGGUCCCAAGCACCCACUCUGCAUCUGUCUAUCCUCAGGUGCUGUCAGAAUUAAACAAGAUCUAGAAUGCUGACCCAGAA